GGUGAGUAACGCGUAGGAAUCUACCCAGUAGCGGGGGAUAAGCCAGAGAAAUUUGGUCUAAUACCGCAUACGCCCUUCGGGGGAAAGCAGGGGAUCUUCGGACCUUGCACUAUUGGAUGAGCCUGCGUGAGAUUAGCUUGUUGGUGAGGUAAUGGCUCACCAAGGCGACGAUCUCUAGCUGGUCUGAGAGGAUGAUCAGCCACACUGGAACUGAGACACGGUCCAGACUCCUACGGGAGGCAGCAGUGGGGAAUAUUGCACAAUGGGCGCAAGCCUGAUGCAGCCAUGCCGCGUGUGUGAAGAAGGCCCUAGGGUUGUAAAGCACUUUCAGCAGUGAGGAAAGGUGCAUAGUUAAUACCUAUGUACUGUGACGUUAACUGCAGAAGAAGCACCGGCUAACUCCGUGCCAGCAGCCGCGGUAAUACGGAGGGUGCGAGCGUUAAUCGGAAUUACUGGGCGUAAAGCGCGCGUAGGUGGAUUGGUCAGUCAGAUGUGAAAGCCCAGGGCUCAACCUUGGAACUGCACCUGAUACUGCCAAUCUAGAAUACGG
RNAcentral lists this ribosomal RNA (550 nucleotides) under uncultured bacterium. Its description in RNAcentral is "bacterial SSU rRNA". It matches the Rfam family "Bacterial small subunit ribosomal RNA", at positions 105 to 651 of the family's 1533-position model. The record is from RNAcentral.